UCAUGGGUAGCUCAGUUGACUAGAGUGUGAUGCUUACAAUGUCAAGGUUGCGUGUUCGAUCUUGCCUAAUGGA
Podarcis lilfordi (Lilford's wall lizard) is the source of this 73-nucleotide non-coding RNA. Lineage: Eukaryota; Metazoa; Chordata; Lepidosauria; Squamata; Lacertidae. The record is from the annotation of a GenBank genome assembly.